RNAcentral lists this ribosomal RNA (460 nucleotides) under uncultured bacterium. RNAcentral's name for it is "partial 16S ribosomal RNA". It matches the Rfam family "Bacterial small subunit ribosomal RNA", at positions 338 to 795 of the family's 1533-position model. The record is from RNAcentral.
CCUACGGGAUGCAGCAGUGAGGAAUAUUGGUCAAUGGACGGAAGUCUGAACCAGCCAUGCCGCGUGCAGGAAGACGGCUCUAUGAGUUGUAAACUGCUUUUGUACAAGGGUAAACCUGAAUACGUGUAUUCAGCUGAAAGUACUGUACGAAUAAGGAUCGGCUAACUCCGUGCCAGCAGCCGCGGUAAUACGGAGGAUCCAAGCGUUAUCCGGAUUUCUUGGGUUUAAAGGGUGCGUAGGCGGAUUGAUAAGUUAGAGGUGAAAUGUCCGAGCUUAACUCGGGAACUGCCUCUAAUACUGUUGAUCGAGAGAGUAGAUGCGGUAGGCGGAAUGUAUGGUGUAGCGGUGAAAUGCUUAGAGAUCAUACAGAACACCGAUUGCGAAGGCAGCUUACCAAUCUAUAUCUGACGUUGAGGCACGAAAGCGUGGGGAGCAAACAGGAUUAGAUACCCCAGAAGUC